This 481-nucleotide long non-coding RNA is filed under the name Mustela putorius furo (domestic ferret). RNAcentral describes it as "lncRNA (ENSMPUG00000027742.1)". Lineage: Eukaryota; Metazoa; Chordata; Mammalia; Carnivora; Mustelidae. The record is from RNAcentral.
CGCCAGGCGCCAUUUUGCAAAGCUCUGCAGUUGACGGAUCUCCAGGCCCCUGGGGCAUCUGCCCUCGACAGCCCCUUCCACUCCAGGGGCCACCUGCAUGAGCCCUGGCAGGGAAGGGAGUCUUGGGCAUUUCCCUGGCAGGACCUGGGCCUUAUCUGACUUUGGCAUUUGUUGCUGAAGACCUAUACUUCAGCAAGGGCCCCGGUGAUGCCUGGGCACCCCAGCUGCCCCCCGUCCCAGUUCUCCAACCCGCUGUGGUACUCUUGGGGCUGUGGGGCCUCCCUGGCCAGGGCCAGACUGCUUCCAGGAAGGUGAAGGAAAAAGGAGUUUCUCCUUGGAGAAGAAAAUUGAGUGGAACAUUUGUAUCUUUUUUCCCUGGGUUUGCAAGAUGUGAUUCAUGGAGUCAGCUCUCAAUAAAACCCGUAACUGAAUGGACAGAUAUCUGAAGAUAAGUUCAAAGGAGGAGUACGGAGAAGUAAAG